Molecule: ribosomal RNA, 503 nt
Filed under: Dialister invisus
Lineage: Bacteria; Bacillati; Bacillota; Negativicutes; Veillonellales; Veillonellaceae
Description: bacterial SSU rRNA
Rfam family: Bacterial small subunit ribosomal RNA
Source: RNAcentral
GACGAACGCUGCGGCGUGCUUAACACAUGCAAGUCGAACGAAAAGACGGAAAGAGCUUGCUCUUUUCAGAAUUGAGUGGCAAACGGGUGAGUAACACGUAAACAACCUGCCUUCAGGAUGGGGACAACAGACGGAAACGACUGCUAAUACCGAAUAAGUUCCAAGAGCCGCAUGGCCCAUGGAAGAAAAGGUGGCCUCUACCUGUAAGCUAUCGCCUGAAGAGGGGUUUGCGUCUGAUUAGCUGGUUGGAGGGGUAACGGCCCACCAAGGCGACGAUCAGUAGCCGGUCUGAGAGGAUGAACGGCCACACUGGAACUGAGACACGGUCCAGACUCCUACGGGAGGCAGCAGUGGGGAAUCUUCCGCAAUGGGCGAAAGCCUGACGGAGCAACGCCGCGUGAGUGAUGACGGCCUUCGGGUUGUAAAACUCUGUGAUCCGGGACGAAAAGGCAGAGUGCGAAGAACAAACUGCAUUGACGGUACCGGAAAAGCGAGCCACGGCU